Molecule: ribosomal RNA, 253 nt
Filed under: uncultured bacterium
Lineage: Bacteria
Description: partial 16S ribosomal RNA
Rfam family: Bacterial small subunit ribosomal RNA
Source: RNAcentral
UACGAAGGGGGCUAGCGUUGCUCGGAAUCACUGGGCGUAAAGGGCGCGUAGGCGGCCGAUUAAGUCGGGGGUGAAAGCCUGUGGCUCAACCACAGAAUUGCCUUCGAUACUGGUUGGCUUGAGACCGGAAGAGGACAGCGGAACUGCGAGUGUAGAGGUGAAAUUCGUAGAUAUUCGCAAGAACACCAGUGGCGAAGGCGACUGUCUAGUCCGGUUCUGACGCUGAGGCGCGAAAGCGUGGGGAGCAAACAGG